UACGGAGGGUGCAAGCGUUAUCCGGAUUCACUGGGUUUAAAGGGUGCGUAGGCGGGCUGGUAAGUCAGUGGUGAAAUCUCCCGACUCAAUUGGGAAAUUGCCAUUGAUACUACCGGUCUUGAGUUCAGUUGAAGUGGGCGGAAUGUGUCAUGUAGCGGUGAAAUGCAUAGAUAUGACACAGAACACCGAUUGCGAAGGCAGCUUGCUAAACUGACACUGACGCUGAGGCACGAAAGCGUGGGGAUCAAACAGG
RNAcentral lists this ribosomal RNA (253 nucleotides) under uncultured bacterium. RNAcentral's name for it is "partial 16S ribosomal RNA". It matches the Rfam family "Bacterial small subunit ribosomal RNA", at positions 524 to 776 of the family's 1533-position model. The record is from RNAcentral.